Molecule: non-coding RNA, 823 nt
Organism: Heterocephalus glaber (naked mole-rat)
Lineage: Eukaryota; Metazoa; Chordata; Mammalia; Rodentia; Bathyergidae
Source: RefSeq, a predicted model, not a curated record
CCCACCUCACUGCCUAGUGGGGGCGCCCUAGGGUGGCUCCCUGCAAGGGCCUGGACAGCCUAUCGGAGGUCCCCGUUAAAGCACUUUGCAGCAAAUCCCUUUUGAGGGGUGGGGUGGGGGCGGGGCCAGGCUCCGGGAGGGUUGCAGAGCAGCGUGGACGGGUACCCAAGGCCCCUCGGUGCCCCAGCCCCUGGGAUCCCGCCGUCGGGCAGCCAGCUCGCACCUGGUCAGCCACACCGGGGCGCUGUGCCGGGGCUGGCCCUCACUGCGCUCCGCGGGUCGCCCCCAUCUUCGCCCCACCGGAAGCUGGGGAGGCCCUGCCCUGACGGCUGGGCCAGACAUCACCACCACCUGAUUGAAUGUCAUGGGCAGUGCCAGGGAGCAAGGCCAAAAGGAGGGUGCCAGGAGUUUGGUGCGGGUGGAAUGGAGACCCAAAGGAGGUGCUUGGAUGGAUGCUCUGGGAGCCCAGAAGCCCACCUGGGCCUGUUGGAGAUUCACAGCCUCUAGCCUGGAGGAAGAGAGUGCUGGUCAGCCAGAAGGAUGCAGGCUCGGGGACAAUGUGGAGAGUGGGGGACAUCUGAGCCAACUUUAGCACAUGAGGUGACGGAAUCGGCCGCUCGACGCUAAUGCAAUCCAUGACAUGUUACAAGGCUAACCGCGUCCGUUUUGAAGUUUGUUUUCCUUCGGGAAUUACACAGUUCGUUUAACCUAAUCUGUCCUGACACUUGAAUUAUAAUAUUAUGAGCUUCUUCAGGGAAGUAAAACAGUAGUUGCCUCCUUAAAAGCAAAGCAGAAGUUAAUAAAGUGGGCAAAAUGUCAAGGA